Molecule: long non-coding RNA, 2947 nt
Organism: Mus musculus (house mouse)
Lineage: Eukaryota; Metazoa; Chordata; Mammalia; Rodentia; Muridae
Product: predicted gene, 34607
Exons: 5
Source: RefSeq, a predicted model, not a curated record
GAGACUAGUCUUAUAACCUCUGUUCUUCCUAAACCUGGGUUUGUUCUUGGAAUGAGCUUUCAUGCACCUCCCAGGUGUAAACAGGUGACCCGUCCAGCAGGUCCAAUUAUUCACGGGUCUCAAGGGGACCUUCUCCUAAGAACCAAAUGGGGGGUAGAGAGAGACGAGGGUCUUGUGCGAAUAACGACACGGAAACGUUCUGAAUUGCAUCAGGACCCCACCAUAUUGAGAAAGGCCCAAUGCGUAAAUGCACAAGCAAAAGGGGAAGUGCCUUUCAGAAGGAUGUGAAAGAACCUAGAGGGGAAACCUCCACUCAACUCCCGAUUCAGCGUGCACCCAAGAAUCACGAAUAGAACACAACACCUUGAUGUAACAACACGAGGUAUUUUACUGGUGGAGCUCCGGGUCGAAACAUAUCUCACACAGGAGACAGUGGAUUCGACCACGAGGCUUGGAAGCUAGGGGUUUUUAUAGAAAAGGAGUGGGGCUGGGGAAGGAAUUGGCACGGUUUCACAUGAUUGGUCCAUUUAAACAUCAGCAGCCUGUAAGAUUUAACUUAGGUCAGAGGGGUGGGAGAUAGGGAAGCAUGGGCCUGCCUGGGCAUGUCCUGGUCUGUUCUACUAUGUUCUCAGCCCCAGGUUUCAAAGCUCACAAACAACUCUUUGGACUAUUUGACAUACAUUACAUGAAUCACAGGUCUCAAGUUUUAUUUCCUUUCAGAAGGAUGGGGCAUAGAAUUGCUCAAGCAAAAAGGGAAGUACUUCUCAGCAGGAGGGAUGGGGCAAUAGAAUUGCACAUUCUUUAGGCAGUUACACAGGAAGCAGGAACUUGGCAGUAUCAGGGUAUCUUGAGGUCAGGACAUCUGGCGCUGACUUAGGGCUGUAACAAUCUGUGGUUGUUCUCUGAGCGGUGUGUCGGUGGCCUGCUUUUAACCCCCUUUUCUUCUCGGGGGGAGAGGCCCAAUUCAGAGAUCAAGAGUUGUCUUAAUAGCUCCCAACAAACAGGGGUGAGUUUUCUCCACAUCACACAUUGCUGCUUACUUGUGUCGCUAAGAAAUGUGUCCAGGCAUGGUGCCCUGUGACUGUGUACAGUCCUGUGAACUUUGCUCAUGUGACCUUGCUUAACCCAAGUGUCUGAUCUUUGAAUAAAGGUGGCUAUUGUCUAAGACAUCAGUCUGCCUCAUUUUAUGCUCUGCUCUCCAUCUAUGGUAACAAGUUCCACCUCAAUGGGGACCCGAAAUCUACUACAGCCUAGGAGAGUGAGGACCUACAGAAGCCCUGAGUGAGAAUAAUGGGGUCGAAAUCAGGGCAGGCUUUGCCUUACCUCAAGCUGGUGCAUCAUUUCUUCAAGGAGGACCAAAACUGCCAGACUAGAAACUGUUAGAUCCUUAUGCUGAUUUCAGUUUGUUUUCUACUAGGGAUACAAUUUUUACCAUCUUUUGUCAAAGCUAACUCUUUUCGCAAAGUAGAUAGCUAAUGUUGUAAUGAGGUGAAAUGAUAAUAUAAAUCAUAGCAGUUUUCAGAGUCCAUGUGUAUGUAGUGAAUAAAACUUCCAAAAACUUUAUGGAAAUCCACGCUGUUAUCUUUAUAACAUUGAAACAUUUUGACUUCCUGUUGAGUAGCUAACAGGAAAGACUUUAUCUUCAUAAAUACAGGACAGAUGGCAAAUUUGGACACAUUUACAGGAUGACAUGUCAUGCAAUAUUAAAAUGAAAAGUGACUUUGUGUGCUGGUAUAAGAAGAUCUUGAAGAUAGAGAUGACAGACCACCUGGACAAUGCUUCCUGAUCGUUUUUGUUAAAGAUGCUUGUAAAUCUUAUCUCAUCUAGAGCAAGUGACCGAGGUCAGUUCCCAGUAAGCUGCCACCUUUUCCUCAGCUACCACUUCAGAAUUCAAGGGGUGUCCUCGGUGUUCUGUAUGACCCAAGGAAUCCAUUGAGCACCUAUGGCAAGAUCAAGAUGCCUUAAACACAGGACCUCCUCCUGUCAUCGCGAGCUGACCCAGAAGUCGCAGCCAGCACAGACCCACUGCGGCCUGGGAAAGAUGCAGCUUUCACAGUACUCUUUCACGUCUGGGAUGUCUUUGGCAUCUUCAUCUGCAUACCUUCUUUUGCUGCAGGAACACUCUGCUUGGACUGUCACCCUGAAUCGGGAGGCUCCUGGCACUUUGCCCUUCUGCUUGUUGACAUCCCCUGAAGGAGGAGUUCUCAGGACACAUCAGGUGAAUUCUAGCCAUAACAUCAGGCUCCAAAGAGUUUUCUAGCUAAUAAUGUCCACUAUUGAAGACGUUUCGUUCUUGUCUAUUUGCUGGAUGCCUGGGUUAGCAGAAGCUUGUCUAAGGAGUCACUGCCUGUGUUGAAGUGGGCUCUGCAGUGAAAUAGCUGUUGGGAAGUUACCCAAGCUCCUGUAAGUAACCUCACACUGGACUCCUUAGCAACCCCGAAGGAAGCUCAGUAGAUCCUCAAGUUGAAUGUCUGCACAGUUGGUACUUCAGUCUGCCAUUAAGUUCUAUUUCUGGUGGGUGUGUACGUGUGUGCGUAUGUGUGUGUGUGUGUGUGUGUGUGUGUGUGUGUGUGUGUGUGUUACAAAUCUGUUGUUCUUCAGGGAUAACUUCCCCCUUUUGUGUCUCAGGGUGCUCAGAUGGGAGUUCCCUAAUCCUUCCCUCUUCUUACACUUAGCUGUCGGGGGUCAUGGCCUCAGCCAUGGCCUUGUGGAUAUUUUCUAGCUUACAUAAACAAUCCUGAGAGAACAUUCGUGGUCAUAACAGUAAGAAAGUUUAUGGGAAAAGAGGACACUGUGACUGUUGGUUCCAGGAGCUGAAGAUUGCCACCUAACCUUCAGAGAGCACCCAGUCUCUCCCACUCCCCACCCCCCAUCCCUUGGAGCCUCUUCUUGCUUUUGCUUAUGCUUAUAUUGCCACUCCUGAAUAAAGUUUUCAGAGCUUGAUCAG